AAACACUGCAGCGGCUGAGGAUACUACAACUACUCGCUUAAUUUUUGCUUCGACACAAGCUUCAAGCACAUUAUGUGUGCCCUUUACAGCAGGUUCAAUCACUUCUGUCUCGGGGUUUGAUGAAGUUGUUGAAGGAACUGGACAGGCAACAUGGAAAACUCCAUCACAUCCUGCAAUCGCUGAACGCAGAGACUCAUAGUUCAGCAAAUCAGCUUUAAACAGUUCCAAAUUUUCGGUCGCUUUCUCAAGUUUUCUCAAGUGAUCAUACUUAGCAUCGCUAGGCUCCCUGACAGUUCCGUGAACAAUAUAAUCCCUGGAUAGCAGAAGCUUGACGACCCACGAACCAAUAAACCCUCCAGCCCCUGUAACACAAACUUUGCCCUUCAUCGCCAUCGUCG
This 398-nucleotide unclassified non-coding RNA is filed under the name Hevea brasiliensis (rubber tree). Lineage: Eukaryota; Viridiplantae; Streptophyta; Magnoliopsida; Malpighiales; Euphorbiaceae. The record is from RNAcentral.